Molecule: ribosomal RNA, 443 nt
Filed under: uncultured prokaryote
Description: bacterial SSU rRNA
Rfam family: Bacterial small subunit ribosomal RNA
Source: RNAcentral
UAGGGAAUAUUGGUCAAUGGGCGGAAGCCUGAACCAGCCAUGCCGCGUGCAGGAAGACGGCCUUCUGGGUUGUAAACUGCUUUUAUCAGGGAACAAAUAGGCCAUGCGUGGCGAGUUGAGUGUACCUGAAGAAUAAGCACCGGCUAACUCCGUGCCAGCAGCCGCGGUAAUACGGAGGGUGCAGGCGUUGUCCGGAUUUAUUGGGUUUAAAGGGUGCGUAGGCGGUUAAUUAAGUCAGUGGUGAAAGGUAUCAGCUUAACUGAUGAAGUGCCAUUCAAACUGAUAGGCUUGAGUACAGACGAGGUAGGCGGAAUUUAUGGUGUAGCGGUGAAAUGCAUAGAUACCAUAAAGAACACCGAUAGCGCAGGCAGCUUACUAGACUGAGACUGACGCUGAGGCACGAAAGCGUGGGGAGCGAACAGGAUUAGAUACCCGCGUAGUCC